RNAcentral lists this ribosomal RNA (492 nucleotides) under uncultured bacterium. RNAcentral describes it as "partial 16S ribosomal RNA". It matches the Rfam family "Bacterial small subunit ribosomal RNA", at positions 29 to 507 of the family's 1533-position model. The record is from RNAcentral.
AGUGAACGCUGGCGGUAGGCCUAACACAUGCAAGUCGAACGGCAGCACAGUAAGAGCUUGCUCUUACGGGUGGCGAGUGGCGGACUGGUGAGGAAUACAUCGGAAUCUACUUUUUCGUGGGGGAUAACGUAGGGAAACUUACGCUAAUACCGCAUACGACCUACGGGUGAAAGCAGGGGAUCUUCGGACCUUGCGCGAUUGAAUGAGCCGAUGUCGGAUUAGCUAGUUGGCGGGGUAAAGGCCCACCAAGGCGACGAUCCGUAGCUGGUCUGAGAGGAUGAUCAGACACACUGGAACAGAGACACGGUCCAGACUCCUACGGGAGGCAGCAGUGGGGAAUAUUGGACAAUGGGCGCAAGCCUGAUCCAGCCAUACCGCGUGGGUGAAGAAGGACUUCGGGUUGUAAAGCCCUUUUGUUGGGAAAGAAAAGCAGCAGGUUAAUACCCCGCUGUUCUGACGGUACCCAAAGAAUAAGCACCGGCUAACUUCGUG